RNAcentral lists this long non-coding RNA (1317 nucleotides) under Homo sapiens (human). Its description in RNAcentral is "synapse stability regulating cerebellar lncRNA". Lineage: Eukaryota; Metazoa; Chordata; Mammalia; Primates; Hominidae. The record is from RNAcentral.
GGGCUCUCGCCGUGAGUCGACGAAGGGAGCGCGGGCGCGCGCCCGCGUCCGCGCACUGAGAGUCGCCUCGGCCGCUCGCUUUCUCGACUCCCGCCUCGCGCCUCGAUCCUGUUCCGCCUCCCUCGGCCCUCCUGCCCGCCCCCACUCGUCGGCCCUCAGGUUCCUGGAAAGUGAAAAUUUCAUUUCUUUGUGGACAGGUACCUAAAAUGUCUCAUUAUUCAUCAAUUAAUGAAAAACAAAUGAAAAUUUGAGAGAGAUAUUCUGAAGAAUAAAAGGAUCAAGUUGGGUCAUUUCUAAAAUCUCAGAGACCUAAUAGGAUGGGGUCUUAGAGAAACAUCUUUUGAGCCACAGACUUCUUUGUUACCAGAAGGAAAAUGAAAGAAGAAAUUUAAAUACCACUUGAAGAGAGGUGAGAACCCUUUGUUAAGCUGUGUAACCUCUGUGCAUAGUUUCCUCAUCAGCAAAGUCAGAAAAAGUAUGUACCUGAAGGACUGAUUGUAAGGCUGGGAUGAGAGAAUCCAUGUGAUCAGCCCUCACCAACAGGUGCUGCCCAGUUCAUGAGUGCUGCUGCUGUCCUGCCCAAGUACCCAGCUUGCAGAGUGCCAGAGUUAGAGUCCCAGGGGUGUUCUCCACAGCUGCAUGCUUGAUCCAGGCCUAUCAGGUGUUAUUUGUUGACGGAACCAGGCAUCAUCAGCAAACAAAACUGACAAAGCUUCCUGCCCUCUGUGGAAGGCAUCUGAGGAAGAGACUGGAUUUUGUAGCAACAUGUUAUUCUCAUUAUAAACUUUAUCAUUGGAAUACUAAAGCCAAAUCAUCCCCCAUCUCCUUGAUCAGGAUACCCACUUAAUCUAGGCAGCUACACAAUUGUGAGAGCCUUUGUUUUUUUCUGCUGAAACAUCCUUAAAAAGAUACCUCACAACCCAAGAUUUGGCUUUUCUUAAAUACGAUUUUUAAUUUUUUUCAUUUCUAUCUAGAGAUUUAAUUGGAAAUGGAAAAUCAUCAAUUUUCCAAUUAAAUGUCUGUUCCAAUCAACAUUAUACCUUUUAGGUUGUCAUUGUCAUUUUUAAGUUUAAGCAACUUUAAGGAUUUUGAAUCUGGCUGCCUGUAAAUUAAAGGUGAAAGUAAUCAUUGUGUUGGAUUGGAACAUUUUGUCAAUUGAGAGUGGUUUCCUUGUUCUUAGUGUAUGAAAAGUUUAUUUUUCUAAUGUAGAUUAAUAAAGGAGAUAAAGAAAAACAAAAUGAGUGAUUUAUGUGUGUGAGAAAAGAACCAUUUCCUCAAGGAUUAAAUAAAAUUCAUACCUUUUGUUUCUUUUGAAAA